Molecule: ribosomal RNA, 207 nt
Filed under: uncultured bacterium
Lineage: Bacteria
Description: partial 16S ribosomal RNA
Rfam family: Bacterial small subunit ribosomal RNA
Source: RNAcentral
CUCGUAGGCGGUUUGUCGCGUCUGCCGUGAAAGUCCGAGGCUCAACUUCGGAUCUGCGGUGGGUACGGGCAGACUAGAGUGAUGUAGGGGAGACUGGAAUUCCUGGUGUAGCGGUGAAAUGCGCAGAUAUCAGGAGGAACACCGAUGGCGAAGGCAGGUCUCUGGGCAUCUACUGACGCUGAGGAGCGAAGGCAUGGGGAGCGAACA